RNAcentral lists this transfer RNA (860 nucleotides) under Rhizobium sp. TUTAHSA87. RNAcentral's name for it is "partial 16S-23S ribosomal RNA intergenic spacer". The stretch from base 197 to 270 matches the Rfam family "tRNA". The record is from RNAcentral. Lineage: Bacteria; Pseudomonadati; Pseudomonadota; Alphaproteobacteria; Hyphomicrobiales; Rhizobiaceae.
AGCGCAAGCGAGAAGGACAAGCUAUCCAGGCCACGCAAAAUCCGCUUUUUAGAACAUAGAUGGCACCAGUCAGGUGACCAUCGAAACGCAAUACGCCACGGAAAUGCCUUUGGCAUUCGGAUGGUAUGGCGAGCCUCGCCGUCCACGUUUCUCUUUCUUCAAGAAGACAAAAACCGCGUCGACCGGUUUCCCGAAUGGGCCCGUAGCUCAGUUGGUUAGAGCACACGCUUGAUAAGCGUGGGGUCGGAAGUUCAAGUCUUCCCGGGCCCACCAUUUGCUUGAUGCGAAUGAUGGUUUGGGAUGAUGGCAUGGCAGGCGAUGUGGAUUGUUGCCGAACCUUGGGGUUAAGACCUUGAGGCGAUCGAGCUGGAGGGGCUGUAGCUCAGCUGGGAGAGCACCUGCUUUGCAAGCAGGGGGUCAGCGGUUCGAUCCCGCUCAGCUCCACCAAAUCGAUUGGUGUUGAGACUGGAUGGUGAACGGUGUUUUGUCUUUUGAAGAAAUAAAGGUUUUGCGUCGGCCUUAGGGCUGAUUGCGUGUUCUGCAUACAUUGUGAAGAGAAGAUUGAUCUGGAGGCUUCCAGGUGUUUUGGGUUUUGCCCGAAGCGUCCGAGCCCGGACCUUAUGAUAUCGUGGAUGGCCUAGCCGGCUGGAAACGAAGGAGGGGACGGAGGUAGGAAGGAAGCUUGUCGCUCUGGGUCGUUGUUGUUGAUGCUUUUAGGAGCGUCUCUGACGGACGACUGGAUUACCGUUGCCUGACCGCGCGGUAUCGGAUCACAUCUCGAGAAGCUGGUCUUAAGAUAGACCGCAAGCGAGCUGCUCGGCGUAGCUCCAAUAAAGCGGAUCUAUCGAACACGUCGAUGG